Molecule: transfer RNA, 94 nt
Filed under: Actinomycetes bacterium
Lineage: Bacteria; Bacillati; Actinomycetota; Actinomycetes
Also listed under: 1 other name
Description: Actinobacteria bacterium (groundwater metagenome) tRNA-Cys
Source: RNAcentral
GGGGAGUACGAGACUGGGUCUCCCACGGGCUGCAAACCCGCUGGCCGGUUCUGAUAAAACCGGGGUGGAGUUCGAUUCCCACUACUCCCCUCCA